GGAUUACGAACUGAUUCGGAAAAAUUCGGACAAGAUCGGACGAGAUCGCAAUAUCUCGUAACUCGAAAUAAUCGAUCGAUUCUUUUCAUUUGUAUUUUCGAUUAUCGAUUCAACUUGAAGUAAGACACAUUCGUUCUAACGUACAAAAUGGCGUCUUUUCUAAAUCUGAUAUAAGAAUUAACAAUUUCGAUAGAAAUUUUUCUAAAGUCCGAGCUUUCAAAUCGCAGAACGAUUCGUACUGUGAAAUUAGCAGUUUAACGAACCGAAACCACGUUUCCUUGUUAUCUAAUUCUGCCUCUCGUCAACAUCUGCACGAACAGUAGCACGUUUCUACGCGAAAGUUGGAUACCUAAACCACAAAUUGCUCGCACGCUGGACAGAAUAGAAUCACGAUAAACGACGGGAGAAGAGAAUUCAAGAGGCAACCGCGAUGAAAUCUUGGUGGAUCCAAGUUGUGGACAACAGGCUCAUUAGUAGUAUCGAUAUGCAGAAUACUGAAAGUUGUAAAAACGCAACGAUAUGCGUAUACAAAAGUACGACGCAAUAUCUGAUCGUGGUCAUAGAUCCAUACGUUAUAGGCGUGAAGAAUAAAUAGAAAUGGUAAGAUAGAUAGAUUAGAUUUUCGUUUUUGAUUUAUGAUUACAUGAAUUAUAUAGUUCUAGAAUGAAUAAAUUAAAGGCAGGAAGACGAAUCUCUUCUUUUUGAAAUUAGAAUGGUGAAAUAUUUUAAAUUCUUAUUCUCAUUUAAAAUUCUUUCAUGGAUAAAAUAUAUUUAAUUUCAAAGCUUUUUAUGUCAAUUAUUUAAUUUUAAACUAACUGAAUUUUUUACGAAAAUAAAUUAUUUUACUUUUAAAUUCUAAA
This is a long non-coding RNA of Apis cerana (Asiatic honeybee), 860 nucleotides long. RefSeq lists it as uncharacterized. The record is from RefSeq and is a predicted model, not a curated record. NCBI's taxonomy places the organism in Eukaryota, Metazoa, Arthropoda, Insecta, Hymenoptera, Apidae.